CAUUUGGUCACUAGGCAAUGUGGUGUUCAGGUCGUUCCGCAGAGGUACUGCUCCACCCUAAGUCCAACAAUGAGUACGGUAGUACGGACAUGGCCCACAGAGGGUGAAAGGCCCGUGGGGGUGGAGAUCAGGCAGGCCAGUGCCUCUCUGGGUAGACCUUGGAGUCGGGUUGUUUGUGAAUGCAGCCCAAAGUGGGUGGUAAACUCCAUCCAAGGCUAAAUACAAGCACGAGUCCGAUAGCGAACAAGUACCGUGAGGGAAAGUUGAAAAGUACUUUGAAGAGAGAGUAAACAGUGCGUGAAACCGCUCAGAGGUAAGCGGGUGGAGUUGAACUGCAAGCUCUGGGGAUUCAGCUGGUGAGUGUGGUUUGAGCUUGGUCAAAUUGGUUGGACUCCGGGGUCUGUGUAGCAGCAGGUCUCUGCCCUCGGGUGGGGAUGCGCGAUGCACUUAUCAAGUGUUGUGCGCCUCGGGUGUUCUUCGGGCCAACUCGCCGGUGCACUUUCUCAGAGUGGUCACCACGACCGGCACUGCUGUCUGGCUGUUGUGGUUAAACCGGACUUGCAUUGGCCUCGUGUCUUUGCUUGGUCGGGAUGGCAGGUAGCUCGUUGGCUUGUCUGUGGCUUGCUGCAGGCGUCGGCUUUCGGGUGUAAUCAGCUGACUGCAAUUGUCCUGUGCAGUGUGUCGGAGACGGCGGCUUGUGGUGUGUGCAUGCGUGCCUGGUUGCUGGCGUGCUCGGGUUUGGUCGCUAUGUUGCUUGUUCAAGCAAGCCUGGUGAUGGCUCGGGUUCGUUUGGCGGCCAGUUGCGUGUGUGGCACUAUUUCCAGGGCCAACAGUCUGUGGUGUAGUGGUAGACGUUCCACCUGACCCGUCUUGAAACACGGACCAAGGAGAGUAACAUGUGCGCGAGUCAUUGGGCGUAACGAAACCCACAGGCGCAGUGAAAGUAAAGGUUUGGCUUGUCCAGACUGAGGUGAGAUCCUGCUGUGUCUCACGCGCGGU
RNAcentral lists this ribosomal RNA (999 nucleotides) under Nasitrema spathulatum. RNAcentral's name for it is "partial large subunit ribosomal RNA". It matches the Rfam family "Eukaryotic large subunit ribosomal RNA", at positions 128 to 754 of the family's 3401-position model. The record is from RNAcentral. Lineage: Eukaryota; Metazoa; Platyhelminthes; Trematoda; Plagiorchiida; Brachycladiidae.